Molecule: ribosomal RNA, 425 nt
Filed under: uncultured bacterium
Lineage: Bacteria
Description: partial 16S ribosomal RNA
Rfam family: Bacterial small subunit ribosomal RNA
Source: RNAcentral
GAAUCUUCCACAAUGGGCGAAAGCCUGAUGGAGCUACGCCGCGUGAGUGAAGAAGGUCUUCGGAUCGUAAAACUCUGUUGUAAGGGAAGAACAAGUACAGCAGUAACUGGCUGUACCUUGACGGUACCUUAUUCGAAAGCCACGGCUAACUACGUCCCAGCACCCGCGGUAAUACGUAGGUGGCAAGCGUUGUCCGGAGUUAUUGGGCGUAAAGCGCGCGCAGGCGGUCCUUUAAGUCUGAUGUGAAAGCCCACGGCUCAACCGUGGAGGGUCAUUGGAAACUGGGGGACUUGUGUGCAGAAGAGGAGAGUGGAAUUCCAAGUGUAGCGGUGAAAUGCGUAGAGAUUUGGAGGAACACCAGUGGCGAAGGCGACUUUCUGGUCUGUAACUGACGCUGAGGCGCGAAUGCGUGGGGAGCAAACAGG